CUCAGCAGAGGACCUUGGGCUGAAGGCCAAGCUGAGAGCUGAACUAGGGAUGGGGGAGGAUCUGGCCUAGAGGUGAAAUAAAAAGUUUGCAGAAACUAAACCAAGCAUGAAGUAGAACUGGAACCUUUAAUUUCAUUAACUACAUUAUGUUGCUGUAGGAUUCUUAUCCCCACUGUGGACUGAGAUGUCAUAGGGAUAGAGAAAAUGCCGCUCACUUUAUGGAUUACUGUUAGGUCAACAAAACUUUGGCAGCAUUGAUUAACUU
Mauremys mutica (yellowpond turtle) is the source of this 265-nucleotide long non-coding RNA. RefSeq lists it as uncharacterized. The record is from RefSeq and is a predicted model, not a curated record. NCBI's taxonomy places the organism in Eukaryota, Metazoa, Chordata, Testudines, Geoemydidae. The transcript is spliced from 3 exons.